This 552-nucleotide long non-coding RNA is filed under the name Ananas comosus (pineapple). RNAcentral's name for it is "long non-coding RNA (ACOM_LNC036057)". Lineage: Eukaryota; Viridiplantae; Streptophyta; Magnoliopsida; Poales; Bromeliaceae. The record is from RNAcentral.
GCUAUACUAUCAGUAGUACAGAGGUCUCCAUGCUGCAUUCAAAGUUGUUUUCAAUGAUGCUUGCUUCGAAAUCAAUGAUCGGCUUCGUUAGAUUUGAUUUACACUAUUGAAAGUAUUUGAAAACUAAAUUUUUAUAAUUUUUCGACAUUAUUUGGCUAGUGAUCAAAAGGUCUCAAAAUUGACAAUUUUAAUGGUCGAUGUGAUACGUUUGUUAAUUUAACGGUGUAAAACAAUUCAAAUCUGAUGAUAUUUUUGUAGAAUUUUUUUUUUCACUAUCUAGAGUAAAAUCAGUACUUCUGAUUUUAAAUUUAAGUCUUUUAUCAUCAUUUUUUUAUAAAAUUUUUAUUUUCAGUAGUUCAUUUUUAGACUACUCGUUUGAUAAGUAAAUAAUGUCGAAAAAUUAUAAAACUUACUUUUCACAUACUUUUAAUAUUAUAUAUAAAGUUUAACAGAGCCGACCGUCGAUUUGGAUGCUGCAUUAUUGAAAACAACUUAGUAGCACCGAGGCGUCCGUAUUACUGAUAGUACAGCAGUCGGACUCCAAUCUUGAUG